UUGAGUCGUUUUGUUAAUAUAAAAAGUUUUUUGCUGUUUUAUGCUUUUAAUGUGUAUAUUUCAACAUAACUUUAUAUGAUUGUUAAUCUCCAUAGUAACAAAACUAUUUAAGCAAAAUCGUCCUCUAUAAUGAUGGAUACAAGUUUACCACCGUUUCCCAUCAUCUUUAAUGAUCCCUGGCUAAAUUCGGCUGUAUACUUUAUUAUUGGUUUGGUCGGUGCUUUUCUUCUUAUAAAUGUAGCUUUUUGGUGUAUUGUAAAUCUCAUCUCUUACUGCUACUCGUGCUACGCAGAUACACCAGACACCCGUGAUGAAUUUGAACCUUUGUAUGAACCCACUGCCACCUAUUAAAGAAUGCAGAAUUCCUCUUGUACCCACUUCCUCCAGCAAAAGAUGUGAAAUGCUUUAUUCAUGGGUAGUUUUUAAAAAUGCCAUUACUAUAAAACCCAAUUCUUUUGAGUUUUGUUAUUUAAAAUCAAAAUCUCACAUCACUUUGGAAGGGCAACAAGAAAUAAUGCCUUCAUCUAGAAGAACAAGUAUUGUGCUAUUCAAAUGUAUCACCAUCCAGUAUUAUACUCAAUACUCCAAAAAAAAUCAUACACCAGUCAACUGAUCAGUUGAGGAUGAGAACUCGUAGUGUUGUAAGAUCAGACUCGAGUAAUAAGGUCAUUUAUCACACAACCAUAACUACAUCUUAUACAAAAAUAAUCUGAAGCCCAAACUCAUUGAAUAAACUCAUUUAACAUAGAGUGAUUGUUAUUUAUCAGCGAAUUAUAAAAGAUUUAUUUCCGUUAUUUUCCUCCUCAGACCACUUUAAAUUAACUAGUUCAUAGGUCUUAUGAAGUUGGCAUGUAUUCAACAAUUAAAAUGGAUAGAAUUCAUCAUUUAGAAUAUAUAUUUUGUGAAACCUGAAUCCUUCAUGAACUUGAUUGAUCAAGAAAAAUGCUUUAUUGUAGUAUUAUCAAGAUAUGUGAUAAAGUAAAAUUACAUGAGUACUAU
This is a long non-coding RNA of Homalodisca vitripennis (glassy-winged sharpshooter), 999 nucleotides long. RefSeq lists it as uncharacterized. NCBI's taxonomy places the organism in Eukaryota, Metazoa, Arthropoda, Insecta, Hemiptera, Cicadellidae. The record is from RefSeq and is a predicted model, not a curated record. The transcript has 4 exons.